GACGAACGCUGGCGGCGUGCCUAAUACAUGCAAGUCGAACGCUGAAGGAGGAGCUUGCCCUUCUGGAUGAGUUGCGAACGGGUGAGUAACGCGUAGGUAACCUGCCUGGUAGCGGGGGAUAACAAUUGGAAACGCUAGCUAAUACCGCAUAACAGUAGAUGUUGCAUGUCAUUUACUUAAAAGGUGCAAUUGUGUCACUACCAGUUGGUGCUGCCUUGUCUUAGUUAGUUGGUGGGGUAACGGCUCACCAAAGCGACGAUACAUAGUCGCCCUGGGAGGGUGGACGGCCACACUGGGACUGAGACACCGCCCAGACUCCUACGGGAAGCAACAGGAGGGAAUCUUCGGCAAUGGACGGAAGUCUUACCGAACAACGCCGCGGGAGUGAAUAAGGGUUUCGGGUCGGAAAGCUCUGUUGUAAGGGGAGAACGAGUGUGGGAAUGGAAAGUGCACACUGUGACGGUAUCUUACCAGAAAGGGACGGCUAACUACGUG
This 495-nucleotide ribosomal RNA is filed under the name uncultured bacterium. RNAcentral's name for it is "partial 16S ribosomal RNA". It matches the Rfam family "Bacterial small subunit ribosomal RNA", at positions 28 to 507 of the family's 1533-position model. The record is from RNAcentral.